Molecule: ribosomal RNA, 253 nt
Filed under: uncultured bacterium
Lineage: Bacteria
Description: partial 16S ribosomal RNA
Rfam family: Bacterial small subunit ribosomal RNA
Source: RNAcentral
UACGGGGGGGGCAAGCGUUGUUCGGAAUUACUGGGCGUAAAGGGCUCGUAGGUGGCCAACUAAGUCAGACGUGAAAUCCCCAGGCUUAACCUGGGAACUGCGUCUGAUACUGGAUGGCUUGAAUUCGGGAGAGGGAUGCAGAAUUCCAGGUGUAGCGGUGAAAUGCGUAGAUAUCUGGAGGAAUACCGGUGGCGAAGGCGGCAUCCUGGACCGAGAUUGACACUGAGGAGCGAAAGCGUGGGGAGCGAACAGG